Molecule: non-coding RNA, 91 nt
Organism: Mycena capillaripes
Lineage: Eukaryota; Fungi; Basidiomycota; Agaricomycetes; Agaricales; Mycenaceae
Source: the annotation of a GenBank genome assembly
UUGGAUGUGGCGUAACGGACGCGGCCAGAUUCUCUUGCAGCGAUUUUGUGCAUAAACCCGGCAGUCCGGGGUUCGAUUCCCCGCGUCCGAA